Lates calcarifer (barramundi perch) is the source of this 3459-nucleotide long non-coding RNA. RefSeq lists it as uncharacterized. Lineage: Eukaryota; Metazoa; Chordata; Actinopteri; Centropomidae. The transcript is spliced from 2 exons. The record is from RefSeq and is a predicted model, not a curated record.
GGAACCAAUCAAAAAAAAAAAAAGAAAAAGAAAAAAAAAAAAAAAAAAAAAAAACAGGACAAUGAUAUCAUCGUUACAAAAAGCCUUCCAAGAAAGUGGCCGAGAAGUAUUUUAAAGAUGGAGCAAUAUCCGAAAGACAAAAACAAAAAAAUCAAGAAACAGAGCAGAAUUUAGAGCGUUGAGUGUGAAAUUGACCUGCUCCCUGGGGCAGCUACCACACUAAAAGGGCAACCCCCUUCCAGCAAACUGAGCUGUUUACUUCCUUGAAUCUUGACUCAACCCCACCAUGGAAAGACCGCUGUCAACCCCAAAGCAUCUGAUUCAAAGUGCCUACACAGGGAUAACCAUUUAUCCUUAUAAGGCAGUGCAAAUCAAAAUAACACAAAGAUAUUUAACACUUAACUUGAAGUAGUGCUCAUCAUUCACUAAGCUAUUGUUGGUACGUGUUGAACGAUUUUCGCGGGAAAUAAGAAAUUUUCUGACCAGUACUGCAAUCUAAAGUGAAAUAAUUUUCCAUUAAUUAAACCUCCAGCCUGCAUAGCAUUGUUUAUGUGUGUCUACUAAAGCUGAGUCAAUGCAUUAAUUAAUUAAUUAAUUGGUCUUUCAACAGAAAGGUUUAAAGCAAAAAUAUAUUACAUUUACUGUUUCCAAGUGGAGAUUUUAAUGGGAUAAUGACCUGCAUGCCCCAAGGCUUUGGAAUUUUUUUCCCCAGGUAAAACAACUAACCUUGGGCUGUUAAAAAAUUAUUAUUCACUAUUUGCUGACAUUUCACGGGUACAAAGUUUGAAUAAAUUACUCUAGAAAAAAAAUCAGCAGAUCAAUAAUGAAGUUUGCAGUCAGUUGCAGAUCCUGUGUCUGCAUUGAAUUUAAUAUUUGUAAUUUAUCAUGAUUUUUAAUCAAAAGGCUCAUUCAUUUAUAUACACAUUUAGGAACUAUUACAACACACAUUGCUAUUUAUUUAUUAGUUGUGUGAAAUUAAUAAUGCGAAAACAUUAACACAGCUCAUCUCUAGUAUACGCAUGUUCACUACUGCUGCUCAGUACAUAGAGUACAGUUUGUUCCUCUUCUCCCUGCUUCCAUCUGAGUACGGCUUUCAUGAGGGGCCCUGGAGCUGGCAGCAGCUCGACUGGUGCUAUCAUCUUACAGACAAAGAGGGUUGAGGGGGUGGAAAGGGGAAUAUAGGGACAAGACACAAACACUGAGAGUGCAGCAAGGGGGGUGAAAUAUGCAAAACAAUAGGAAAAAAAAUCAGAAGACACCAAGGUAAGGAGUAGGGAAGAGAGAAGACGAACAGAGAGAGAAGUGGAAUGUGAUAGAGGAGGGACAAAGAGGCAUAAGAGCCUGUCAUUGAAGCUGAUGUGAGAGGAAUGCAGCUGCAGCUUCUAACAUGUAUAAAAAGCAAAGAGGUCAACUUCCUGAAGUCAGCAGCACAUGAACACAGUGCACUCCCCCUUUAACAGACAGAGUAAGAAGCAAAGAAACUAAAGAGCGUGAGGCACAGUGGCCAAUUUACUGAGCCCUUGAAUAGUGGAAAACGAACAACAGAAUUAACCAAUGAAGUGUUGUGGCACUGUUUUCUUUUUGUUACCAGUUACAUAAACUAACCUGGAGAGUAGGUGUAGAACAGAGGUGGAUCUAAACCAAGAUACAGCCCAACAGAUGUAAUAGAUUGUUUUUGAAAGCAUUUGUUCAAGAAAAAGCCAUGACACAGAUAUAUCUGUUUGGACAUUUGAGCCUAUUUGAUAGUCUUUCCUAUUGGUACACCAUAACUGGUUUCAAAUGUUUAGGUCAUUGUCUAACCUUCUUAAGGGCCCUCCAAAGGUCUGUCCUGAUAAUAAUAUGCAUUAUAAAUAUUUACUUAUGUGGGUUUUGUUUUAGGGGAUUGUUCUCUCUUUAGAAAUUGAUUUGAAACAAAUUACUGGAGAAGCCAUACAUUCACACUACACAGGCUAGUAAAUGGACAAACAAUGCACCAUAUAAGCUUUGUAGAGAUUGACUUGAGUGUCUGUGGAUGCAUCUGAACUGUCAACUGAACUGAAUCUUUUCUUUUUUCACUUUUCACGUAUCCUGCUGUUGCUAUGCAACUGCAAAAUCUAUUUGAAGCAUGAUGCUUUGUUGCCCAAAGCCAACAUAUUUUUUCAAAUCAUUUGCAUGAAAGUAAAACACAACAGGCCUUCAGCAACAGACCUUGACUUUGAAAAUGAAAAAAAGAGAAUGCACUAAAGGUGGGUGGUUCAGAUACAGAACAUGAUAUGGAUCUGGCCAUACAGCUGGUUCUGGUAUAAAAUGGAUUUCACCUGUCAAACUACUUCAAGCAUACACAAGCUUUACACUUGCACUAACUGUAUGUUACACUCAUGUACUGUAUUACUACAUUCUAUAGUCUUCUAUAGUGCUGUUUGAAAAUCUGCUCCAGCUGUAUGUACUUUAUACUUUGUGGUGCAUUACAGUACAUAUUUUAAAUCAUAAUUAAAUUUACUAUCUUUUAAACUUAGUUUAAUCUUUUGCAGAUAUACCCAUCUUACAUGUAUUCUCUAGAGCUGAAGUAACCAGUAAAGGCACUUGUUAGGAAGACCUUGCUGUCAUGGCAACAUUCCUAAACACUCCCUAUUCCUCUGGGCUUGUCCGACUGGGAUGACAUCAGUGCAAAAGGCACAUGCCAGUGGCUCUUUCUCAAAUGCAAAACCACUUACUAACAGAGGAGUUGAGGGGAACCCUCUGACUGAAAGAAGGCGGUCUGCUUCUUUCCUGCCGUUACUUCCCUGGUUUCAUUUGAGAUCAAUAUGAAGGACUGGAGCUUGUGUGAAGUGUUAGGAAAAAGGUGCAAUGCACAGGAGUGACUGCGUUGCACAUGUCUGCUUUACUUUGAAAACAGUAUGCACUACAUGAGAUUACAUGUGUAGUGCGAGUGUGUGCAGGGGCAGAUAAGCGUACUUGUCACACGGUCGACUGUCACGUCAACUCUGGGAGGGGUUCGAAGGGGUACCCACACACAAACCAAACAGAAACCGAGGGCAGUGUGCGCAAAUGCACAAGCUUCAGGUUUUGCUUAUGACUCAUUAAUUGAUCUGUCCAUUAUAGAGUCAUCCAUUUGACUUUAAAGUCACCUGUCCACCCACACCCAGAGAACAACCUUCUCCCUCUGUUCCCACACUUCCCCCCUCUCCUUCCUCCACUCCUUCCCAACCAUCAAGUGCUUCAGCAGAUGGCUCUGGGUUCAACAACAACAACAGCAGAGCAUGGUGGGGGCCCUCCUGGAGUGCACACAUACACACCAUGGACAGCAUCUGUUUAUGAAUGGACCGACAAUUGCCCAUCCCCCGACAACUCCAGCUGACAGAGGGAGGGGACACCUUCAGUCACCAAAAGCAAAUGAAGAGAUAAAGAGGACCAAGGCAGUGAAAACAGGGGGAGGUAAAAAAUGGAGAGGAGGACAAUAAAGUUGCAACUCCAAAGAUG